This 253-nucleotide ribosomal RNA is filed under the name uncultured bacterium. RNAcentral describes it as "partial 16S ribosomal RNA". It matches the Rfam family "Bacterial small subunit ribosomal RNA", at positions 524 to 776 of the family's 1533-position model. The record is from RNAcentral.
UACUUAGGGUGCGAGCGUUAAUCGGAAUUACUGGGCGUAAAGCGUGCGCAGGCGGUUCGUUGUGUCGGUGGUGAAAUCCCCGGGCUUAACCUGGGAAUGGCCAUGGAAACUGGCGAACUGGAGUGCGGCAGAGGGGGGUGGAAUUCCGCGUGUAGCAGUGAAAUGCGUAGAGAUCCGGAGGAACACCGAUGGCGAAGGCAGCCCCCUGGGUCAAGAUUGACGCUCAUGCACGAAAGCGUGGGGAGCAAACAGG